GUGGAGUUCAGCCACCAAGUGUGUGAUUGUUCACCAACUAACAGGGAACGUGAGCUGGGUUUAGACCGUCGCGAGACAGGUUAGUUUUACCCUACUGCAUCGCGUCCGAGAGUAGGUCGGGGCAGUACGAGAGGAAGUGCCGAUCAGAACCGCUGGUGAUACUUUCGUCUGUUAAGGCGCGAAGUGUAGCUACGUUCUUCUUAUAAUAGCUGAAAGCCUCUAAGCUAGAAUGAGUACUUAAGGACGCAAAGAUAUGAAGACUACAUAUGUAAGGAUGAGGGUUGUACGAUAUAAGCUUCUGCGAGUAUUUCAGACCACUUAUUUCCUUUUUUAGAACAUGCUUGCUC
Molecule: non-coding RNA, 347 nt
Filed under: Enterocytozoon bieneusi H348
Lineage: Eukaryota; Fungi; Microsporidia; Enterocytozoonidae
Description: Archaeal large subunit ribosomal RNA
Rfam family: Archaeal large subunit ribosomal RNA
Source: Rfam by way of RNAcentral